This 82-nucleotide transfer RNA is filed under the name Cyclonatronum proteinivorum. It matches the Rfam family "tRNA". Rfam says of the family: Transfer RNA (tRNA) molecules are approximately 80 nucleotides in length. Their secondary structure includes four short double-helical elements and three loops (D, anti-codon, and T loops). Further hydrogen bonds mediate the characteristic L-shaped molecular structure. tRNAs have two regions of fundamental functional importance: the anti-codon, which is responsible for specific mRNA codon recognition, and the 3' end, to which the tRNAs corresponding amino acid is attached (by aminoacyl-tRNA synthetases). tRNAs cope with the degeneracy of the genetic code in two manners: having more than one tRNA (with a specific anti-codon) for a particular amino acid; and 'wobble' base-pairing, i.e. permitting non-standard base-pairing at the 3rd anti-codon position. The record is from Rfam by way of RNAcentral. Lineage: Bacteria; Pseudomonadati; Balneolota; Balneolia; Balneolales; Cyclonatronaceae.
GCCGGCGUGGCGGAAUUGGUAGACGCGCACGACUCAAACUCGUGUUCCGAAAGGAGUAUCGGUUCGACUCCGAUCGCCGGUA